CUUGUGCCGUGUGUGUUUCUGUUUGGGACCGGGAGAAACUCAAAGUGAACUUUCCUGGCAUUUCAGUGGAAUUUCUUGGCAGGGCCUUAUCUGGGGAAGGAGGAGGCAACCUGGAGGUUGGAUCAGUGGUGGGAGGGUGGCUUUCCCUGGGGUCUCACUAGCUUGAAGACUCAUUCUUCUCCUUUGUGGGAGCCCCAGGCCUGCCUCUGGGCUUCAUUGGACCCUGUCUGCGGGGCCGAGUGUAGCUUGAUGCUUUCCUCAGCUGCUGGGGUGACUCCUGCCAGAUGACGCUGAUGGUCCCUCUUAGCAAGUGCUCCCUCUGUACAGGUCAAGUGCUGGGGUAGGUGGCCACUGGCAGUCUCACCUCCGUGCUCUUCUGGCACCAGAACCUUCAGCUCCAAAUUGUUAAGUCUGAGGGGAGACAUAUUGGUCCAGCUUGGGAAUCAUGAUGUCCUUCGACCAAUCCCACCCAGGAGAAUUGGAUACUGUGAUGGCUCAAGUCCCGGAUGUGGAGGUGAAUAGCAGAAGAGGGGAGACUGGAAAGCUUGUGCAUCAGAGAAACAGUCCUGUUCUGUAGCCCUGGGCCCACUCCUUCCUGCAUCCAGGGCCUGGCUGCUCAUACUGUUGACUCAGUUCUGAACUGAUGUCUCCAUGGACUCUGCACCUGAUUCCAGAUCAUUAAAGCCCACGUACUUGCUUGAGCUCAGGUGCGAUUCUAACUGUUUUGAAACUCUCUUCUGGAAAUCAUAUUGAAAUAAUUGUGAUCACGUGAUCCAUCACACAUUAACCCAAGUUAGCACCUUUCUACCUCCUUGUAUAAAAGUGUCAAAUCUCUGGGUGAAUGUUUCACAAAAUGCCCAUGUAUAAGAUCAAGCAUGUCUAAUUCGAACUACCUGUGGGAAGGACAAUCUGGAUUAGAAAAACAUCGGAAUCCUGAUUUAUAUUUUAAGUAAUUCAAGUUUCUGUGUUACUGAUUAGGGUUCUAGCGACAGACAGACAAAAGCCACUCUGGGUGGUCUCGGUAGAAAUGACUUAUUAGGAAGUCUAGCUAGCCCACAGGAUGGUGAGGAUAGCUGAAGAGACUGUCUUGUGGCUCUACUCCAGGAAUGACUCCCAAGACCACAUUGUAGGACUCGGCUGCCAACGGAGCUGCUGCGUCCCCAUGGUCAGAAAGCAGCUGGAUGAGGACGCCACCUGCCCCGGCUCCUGGCUCCACAACUGAACCAGCUCUGCCAGGAUCUGUCAGCAAAACGGACGCAUGGCGCCUCUCUCUCUCCGUGUAAUGCCUUCCCAAGUUAAAGUCUCACGCAAGCACCUUUUCCUCUGUGCAAUUUCACUCUCAGUCAAGGUCGUGUGCAAGUACACGUGACUGUUGGACUAAGUCACACCUGGAACUCGAGCUGCAAGGGAGUUUAGGCGAGUCCGCGUGGAGCUUUCCAGCCUCUGUGCAGUAGACGGGGUUGGGCUUGGAACAGAUGUUGAAUGAGCAUCUUCUCUGGCUUCCCCUAAUCCUCACAGAGAGAAGAUGCUUGAUAAAUGUGUGUGAAUGUUUGCGUGUGUGUGCGCGCGCUAUAGACUGAAUGUUUGUUCCCCCCCUCAAUUCAUAUAUUAAAUCCCAGUGCCCAAGGUGAUAGUAUUUAGAGGUGGGGCCUUUGGGAGGUGAUUAGGUCAUGGGUGUGGACCUUCAUGAAGGGCAUUAGUGCCUUCAUAAAAGAGACCCCAGGGGCUGGCUCUGUGGCCGAGUGGUUAAGUUCACACACUGUGUUUCAGCGGCCCAGGAUUUCGCGGGUUCAGAUCCUGGGUGCAGACAUAGCACUGCUCAUCUAAGCCAUGCUGAGGCGGCGUCCCACAUAGCACAACCAGAGGUGCUCACAACUAGAAUAUACAACUAUGUACUGGGGGGCUUUUGUGGAGAAGAAGAAGAAGAAGAAGAAAAAGAAGAUUGGCAACAGAUGUUAGCUCAGGUGCCAAUCUUAAAAAAAAAAGAGAGACUCCAGGUCCUUCCACCAUGUAAGGACGCAGUGAGAAGAUGGUCAUUAGUGAACCAGAAAGCUGGCUCUCACUACGUACUGAAUCUGCCAGCCUUGGACUUCCCAGCCUCCAGAACUGUGAGAAAUAAAUUUCUGUUGUUUAGAAGCCACCCUGUCUGUGGUGUUUUUGUUGUGGCAGCCCGAAUGGACUAAGACAGUGUGUGAGAACAGAAAGCACUGGACCGGGAGUCAGCUGACCCUAAUUCUGAGUAAGCCCCCUCCCUUAUCUGGGCAUCACUUUCUUUAUCUGUCAGGUUAUGGGGUUUGACUAAAGGGUCUUGAAGGUCCCUUCCAGUUUGAAUAGUCCA
RNAcentral lists this long non-coding RNA (2338 nucleotides) under Equus caballus (horse). Its description in RNAcentral is "lncRNA (ENSECAG00000056702.1)". Lineage: Eukaryota; Metazoa; Chordata; Mammalia; Perissodactyla; Equidae. The record is from RNAcentral.